RNAcentral lists this ribosomal RNA (262 nucleotides) under uncultured bacterium. Its description in RNAcentral is "partial 16S ribosomal RNA". It matches the Rfam family "Bacterial small subunit ribosomal RNA", at positions 334 to 593 of the family's 1533-position model. The record is from RNAcentral.
GUGACCUACGGGACGCAGCAGUGAGGAAUAUUGGUCAAUGGCCGAAGGGCUGAACCAGCCAAGCCGCGUGAAGGAAUAAGGCCCUACGGGUCGUAAACUUCUUUAGCCAGGGAACAAAGGGAGCCACGCGUGGCGCUGUGAGUGUACCUGAAGAAUAAGCAUCGGCUAGCUCCGUGCCAGCAGCCGCGGUAAUACGGAGGAUGCGAGCGUUAUCCGGAUUUAUUGGGUUUAAAGGGUGCGUAGGCGGUUUGUCAAGUCAGUG